CAGGCGGUCUGAGAAUAGGCUGGAUACAUGGAUGGAGAGCCAGUGCUUCAGCAUGAAAACCACUUGUCCUGGAAAGGAAGUCUUCCACUCAUGGUUCCUCUGAGCCUAGGAUAUGCUUAUCUUUACUGUUUCUUUGAGGGGUUGUGCAGAAGGAAUUUUUAGCUGACCUGCCAGUGCUGAAUAAUCCUAUGCAGAUUCUUCUGCUGUUUCCAUUAAUUUAGAAGUGCUCAUCAUGGUGAAUGUUAUGUGACUACCAAAGGGCUCUCUAAGGUCUAAUUCAUUAUUUUACAGUGGUUAUCAAUUCUUAGUGCUUUGGAAGAAACUAAUUUGCAAAUAGUUAGCACUUCAUUUAAAUAUAAAUUACUUCAGCAGUUAUAAAUUCCAGCUCAAAACCACAAAAUGUUCCAGUAAUAAUGAACUGACCCUUCUCCAAUGCAGAAGAGCAUGCAGAAGUGUCUGCCCAAGAAGUUCAAACUUCUGAGAUGUGUAUGGUCAGCCAGCAGCAAAUGUGUCCCGUGCUUAGGUGAUGUUGUAGACAUCAGCAUGCAGUUGUUAGCGGUGGGGCCAGGCUCAGACCUUACCAGCUCUACCCAGUUUGAGGGGAGAAGGGCUUUGCAUUAGACUUAGCUGGCCAAAUGACUCAAGGUCUUUCAGUGCUGCUUGAGUGCAGUGAAGAGGAAGUGAGGAGGAAAGGGACUCAUUUUCUCCUUGUCCUGGGACCACACCGUUUCUUCUUGGUUUUGAAUGUGUGAGGGACUGACAAGGCAAUUGCAGUUGAGGGUCCUGACGUCCCUAGACCCUUACAUGGGCCAAGCUCUGCAGCUGGCCGGUGUCUCCUGCUGCGUUGCUUGCUCUGCUGUGCGCAGGCUGAAGUGGUGCCUCCGUGGUUCAGCAGCUCGCAUUGGGUGCCGGGGAGAAGCAGCRUCCAGGCAGAGAUCGCAGCCUGUGGAGAGGAUGACAGAAGAGAAUGACAAAGUCCCGGUUUGUCCCUGGGGGUCAGUGCUGAUCGGACACAAACACAUCUCUGCACAGAUCCACUGUAAAAUAAAAAUGUCUUGUGGUUUCCGAAUCAUGCUUUAGUGUUCUGAUAYGUGAAGAAGUAACUACCCAAAUUUUCAUUUUAUUUCUUGACAGAAACUAAUUUUGAUAUAUCAUAUUUUCUCAAGAGGCAGAGUUCUAACAUAAUGCUCAGCUCUGCCCAGACCAAAUGCUUGUUUCAUGGCAUUAUCUGUUACCACAUAUGGAAAUACAGCAAAAGUUCAAAGGCACAUAUUCCCCAGCUCCCUGCUCUUUGUUAUAAACUCAGCAUCUWGAGGGUUGUGAGCAUGAAACCAGAGUCUGGUUCCUACUCACUGAAAAACUGUAAAUAUUGUGAUAGCUAAUAGUGUCACUAAGGUUGUAUAUGGGGCGCAGUCCAGUCCCCUGCACACUCAAAACCUAGAAGUGUGUCCAGUGGGUGCAGGGGGUUGAAAGCAGAAUACGGUCUAGGACAAAUUGGCCAAUGAAGUUAAUAUAAGGACUCAUCCAUUAUCGUCAGGGUGCAGAGUAGGAAAAAUUAAACUCCAGUGGGAACAAAGCUGAGCACUUUCAAGGAGUUCAAAGAAUAAAAGAAAAUCUGGAUUGAAGGGACCUUAAAAA
Molecule: long non-coding RNA, 1638 nt
Filed under: Apteryx haastii (Great spotted kiwi)
Lineage: Eukaryota; Metazoa; Chordata; Aves; Apterygiformes; Apterygidae
Description: lncRNA (ENSAHAG00000005852.1)
Source: RNAcentral